GAUGAACGCUGGCGGCGUGCUUAACACAUGCAAGUCGAGCGAAGCAGUUAAGAAGAUUCUUCGGAUGAAACUUGAUUGACUGAGCGGCGGACGGGUGAGUAACGCGUGGGUGACCUGCCCCAUACCGGGGGAUAACAGCUGGAAACGGCUGCUAAUACCGCAUAAGCGCACAGAGCUGCAUGGCUCAGUGUGAAAAACUCCGGUGGUAUGGGAUGGGCCCGCGUCUGAUUAGGCAGUUGGCGGGGUAACGGCCCACCAAACCGACGAUCAGUAGCCGGCCUGAGAGGGCGACCGGCCACAUUGGGACUGAGACACGGCCCAAACUCCUACGGGAGGCAGCAGUGGGGAAUAUUGCACAAUGGGGGAAACCCUGAUGCAGCGACGCCGCGUGAGCGAAGAAGUAUUUCGGUAUGUAAAGCUCUAUCAGCAGGGAAGAUAAUGACGGUACCUGACUAAGA
Molecule: ribosomal RNA, 458 nt
Filed under: uncultured bacterium
Lineage: Bacteria
Description: bacterial SSU rRNA
Rfam family: Bacterial small subunit ribosomal RNA
Source: RNAcentral